GAAACCAACAACUCAUUCUAACAUUUGGAUUAAAUUAACAUGUUAUGCUGCAGUUUAUUCGUGCCAAAAAAGUUGUUAGUAAUGCAUCUAUGUGGGAUACUGUGAAACUAUUACCAAGUGAUGUUGUUCCAUAGUCAUAUGUAGUCGUGUCAACACAGCUCCACAGUGCAAAUCAUUCAUUCAUCUCCAUUUGAGCUUUGAGGUAGAGGUGGAAUGUGAUAUAACAGGCAGUGAAAUAAAAUGAUGGAAUAUAAUACAAUUCGGUGUUGUUUUCAGCAUAACUCAUUACACGCUUAUCUACUAGAGACUGAAACUUAUGAACUCUGAAAUGGACUAGACCGUCUAAGCGCCGAAUAAAAAAUCUGAAGUUCCAAAGAUCAUAGGAGAACAGUGGAAAGUGUAAAUGGUCCCAGGUUCAGCAGGGAAAAGUGUGAGGUGAAGUUGGUUGGAUCCCCAUUGACACAUGAAAGAUUUGAGCCCCUGCAGUUACUGCUAGUGGAGCCAUUGUUGCCAUUCUAUCUCAACACUUCCAACGCCUUGAUGCCAUAGGAAUCUGACUAGCCUUUUGAGUGUUGUAUAUUCAACUGCGAAAUCUGAAUAGCAUGGUAAUGAUCUGAACUAUGCAUUGCAUGCCUGCCUUUGAGACUCAUAUUAUUGCUUCUUUUUCUAAUUUACAUAUUUUAAACUAUUAUAUGCUUUA
This is a long non-coding RNA of Humulus lupulus (European hop), 700 nucleotides long. RefSeq lists it as uncharacterized. The transcript has 3 exons. The record is from RefSeq and is a predicted model, not a curated record. NCBI's taxonomy places the organism in Eukaryota, Viridiplantae, Streptophyta, Magnoliopsida, Rosales, Cannabaceae.